RNAcentral lists this long non-coding RNA (494 nucleotides) under Parus major (Great Tit). RNAcentral describes it as "lncRNA (ENSPMJG00000008977.1)". The record is from RNAcentral. Lineage: Eukaryota; Metazoa; Chordata; Aves; Passeriformes; Paridae.
UCCUCCAAAUGUCUGUGACUACACAUGUGACCUCUCCGUGUGAAACUGAAGAGACUUCUCAUGGGCUCUGAAGUAGCACUUUGCAGCCUCCACAACAACAGAAUAGAUAUACUGACAGCAGGAUUAGAGCAGGAGAUGGGAUAAUCUCAAAACCAUGUGUUUCUCUAGCUGAAACACAGUUACAAAUACAUAAUUUCUUCUAUUCAACUGAGGGUGAAUGCAGAAUUUUAGGCUUGCAAAGAAAGGAACAAGUGAAAUGACACGAAUUUAUCUUGAAAGAAAAUAGAAGUAGGAGAAGGCAUGAAAAGGGGACAGUGAACCUUCUUGCAUGGAUGUGAGCUGCAACAGCAUCUCUGAGCACAAGCAGGCAGCAGAAGGAGACGCAGGCAGCUUUUGGCCCAGUUCUUGAGUAAAGCACAUCACAUCAGCACCACUGAGCUAAGGCCAGGCAAGCAGCAGACAACCUGCAGCUAUCUCCACGUGUCACACAGGAU